GCCCGGGUGGUCUAGUGGUAUGAUUCUCGCUUAGGGAUACAAACCCAAGCAUAUUUGCGAGAGGUCCCGCGUUCGAUCCGCGGCUCGGGCC
Molecule: transfer RNA, 91 nt
Filed under: Aspergillus tubingensis
Lineage: Eukaryota; Fungi; Ascomycota; Eurotiomycetes; Eurotiales; Aspergillaceae
Also listed under: 1 other name
Description: tRNA-Pro
Source: RNAcentral